GUCCAAAUCCAUUUACCUGCAAUUGUGUUCAUCUAUAUGAAUAGUUAUGUUUCUGCAAGGCAUGAUGUCUGAUGCAAAACAGAAGAUCUGCUGCAUCUAAAAUGAAAGAUCAGGACCUUAGUGUGACUGCAGUAUGCAUUGCCUGAAUUUUCCUUUCCCUCUCCUUGGAUAAAUAAGAGUGCUUCUAGUCUAGGUUACCAUAGUUUCUGGUUUCCUUAGUAACCACCUCGAGAGCAUUCAUGUGUUUGUGUCAGUAGAAAAGGGGGUGGGGGGGCUAUAAAGUAAAAAAAAACCUCUCAAACUUGGCAUGAAAAAAAAAUCCAGUUUUUUUCCUUAAUGAACAAUCAAACCAAACCUGAAACAAAUGAAGUCUCACUGGAGAUGAACUGAAAUAAUUAUGAAUGGGAUCCUCUUCUCAGAAGUGAUUUGAGAAGAAAUUGAAGUUUUCAUAGACAGUGCAUGAAAGGAGCAUUAGCAUGGCCUUAUUCCAUACACAACAGAUUACACAUAUAUCUCUAAUAAGAUCUACAGAAACUGCCUACAGAGCCCACAGUAUGUGCUGGAGCUCAAUUGCAACAGAGACAGCUUAGCAUAUCUUCAAGCAACCUUUCCAUAAACUACAGGAUACUUAAUCAUCC
RNAcentral lists this long non-coding RNA (638 nucleotides) under Phasianus colchicus (ring-necked pheasant). Its description in RNAcentral is "lncRNA (ENSPCLG00000001845.1)". Lineage: Eukaryota; Metazoa; Chordata; Aves; Galliformes; Phasianidae. The record is from RNAcentral.